This 418-nucleotide ribosomal RNA is filed under the name uncultured bacterium. Its description in RNAcentral is "partial 16S ribosomal RNA". It matches the Rfam family "Bacterial small subunit ribosomal RNA", at positions 363 to 773 of the family's 1533-position model. The record is from RNAcentral.
AUUGGACAAUGGGGGCAACCCUGAUCCAGCCAUGCCGCGUGUGUGAAGAAGGUCUUCNNNUUGUANAGCACUUUAAGUUGGGANGAANGGCUUUAGGCUAAUACCCUGAAGUUGUGACGUUACCAACAGAAUAAGCACAGGCUAACUCUGUUCCAGCAGCCGCGGUAAUACAGAUGGUGCAAGCGUUAAUCGGAAUUACUGGGCGUAAAGCGCGCGUAGGUUGUUCAGUAAGAUGGGUGUGAACUCCCCGGGCUUAACCUGGGAACUGCUUUCAUAACUGCUGAGCUAGAGUACGGUAGAGGGUAGUGGAAUUUCCUGUGUAGCGGUGAAAUGCGUAGAUAUAGGAAGGAACACCAGUGGCGAAGGCGACUACCUGGACUGAUACUGACACUGAGGUGCGAAAGCGUGGGGAGCAAAC